UAUGGCCACACUAUGUUGAAACACUGGUUUCCAUAUGAUCACUGAAGUUAAGCUGCAUCGAACCUGGUCAGUACCUAGAUGGGUGACCACUUAGGAGUACCAGGUGCUGUAAG
Acanthosepion pharaonis is the source of this 113-nucleotide non-coding RNA. Lineage: Eukaryota; Metazoa; Mollusca; Cephalopoda; Sepiida; Sepiidae. The record is from the annotation of a GenBank genome assembly.